This 252-nucleotide ribosomal RNA is filed under the name uncultured bacterium. RNAcentral's name for it is "partial 16S ribosomal RNA". It matches the Rfam family "Bacterial small subunit ribosomal RNA", at positions 524 to 776 of the family's 1533-position model. The record is from RNAcentral.
UACGUAGGGGGCAAGCGUUGUCCGGAAUUAUUGGGCGUAAAGCGCGCGCAGGCGGUCUUUUAAGUCUGGUGUUUAAGUGCGGGGCUCAACCCCGUGACGCACUGGAAACUGGGAGGCUUGAGUGCAGAAGAGGAGAGCGGAAUUCCACGUGUAGCGGUGACAUGCGUAGAGAUGUGGAGGAACACCAGUGGCGAAGGCGGCUCUCUGGCCUGUAACUGACGCUGAGGCGCGAAAGCGUGGGGAGCAAACAGG